This 492-nucleotide ribosomal RNA is filed under the name uncultured bacterium. Its description in RNAcentral is "partial 16S ribosomal RNA". It matches the Rfam family "Bacterial small subunit ribosomal RNA", at positions 29 to 507 of the family's 1533-position model. The record is from RNAcentral.
AGUGAACGCUGGCGGUAGGCCUAACACAUGCAAGUCGAACGGCAGCACAGUAAGAGCUUGCUCUUACGGGUGGCGAGUGGCGGACGGGUGAGGAAUACAUCGGAAUCUACUUUUUCGUGGGGGAUAACGUAGGGAAACUUACGCUAAUACCGCAUACGACCUACGGGUGAAAGCAGGGGAUCUUCGGACCUUGCGCGAUUGAAUGAGCCGAUGUUGGAUUAGCUAGUUGGCGGGGUAAAGGCCCACCGAGGCGACGAUCCGUAGCUGGUCUGAGAGGAUGAUCAGCCACACUGGAACUGAGACACGGUCCAGACUCCUACGGGAGGCAGCAGUGGGGAAUAUUGGACAAUGGGCGCAAGCCUGAUCCAGCCAUACCGCGUGGGUGAAGAAGGCCUUCGGGUUGUAAAGCCCUUUUGUUGGGAAAGAAAAGCAGCAGGUUAAUACCCCGCUGUUCUGACGGUACCCAAAGAAUAAGCACCGGCUAACUUCGUG